AUGGAGGGGGAGAGGGGGCGGGUGCUGGUGGUGGGCGGGAGCGGCUACCUCGGCCAGCACCUCCUCGCCGCGCUCGCCGUCCACGGCAGCGUCGACGUCGACGUGGCCUUCACCCACCACCGCGGGACCGCGCCGCGGCCGCUCCUCGACGCGCUCCCCGGCGCCCGCGCCUUCCGCGCCGACCUCCGCUCCGGCGACGGCCUCCAGGCCGUCGCCGCGUCCUUCGGCCAGCCACAUGUGAUUGUGAACUGUGCUGCAAUCUCGGUUCCUCGGGCGUGCGAAGCGGACCCAGCUGCUGCCAUGGCCACUAAUGUGCCUUCUUCACUUGUUGAUUGGUCGCUGAGCUUCGGGAAUGACAGGACUCUUUUGAUUCAUCUCUCCACAGAUCAAGUUUAUGAGGGGGUGAAAUCCUUCUACAAAGAGGAGGAUGAGACACUGCCGGUGAACAUGUAUGGCAAAUCAAAAGUUGCUGCAGAGAAGUUCAUUACUGAGAAAUGCUCAAACUAUGCAAUCUUGAGAAGCAGCAUCAUUUACGGGCCACAAACAAUCUCUCCUGUUGAAAAGUCGCUCCCUAUCCAGUGGAUGAACUCUGUCCUUUCACAAGGCCAACAAGUUGAUUUUUUUAAUGAUGAGUACCGCUGCCCAGUUUAUGUAAAAGAUAUGGUGGAUGUAAUAUUGUCUUUAACAAAAAGUUGGUUAUCAGAUGGCAAAAAAAUUCAGGUACUUCUGAAUGUAGGUGGACCAGAUAGGGUUUCAAGACUGCAGAUGGCUGAGUCUGUUGCUGAAGUUCGUGGAUACAGCAAGUCGAUAAUCAAAUCUGUGCCUGCAUCAUCGGUUAACCGGGGUGUAGCUUCACCGCCAGACAUAUCCAUGGAUAUCACCAGGCUAACUCAGACGCUCGGUAUCCAGCCGAUUACAUUUCUGGAUGGAGUCAGAGCUACACUUGACGCAGAAGCCAGUACAUGA
This 966-nucleotide ribosomal RNA is filed under the name Triticum aestivum (bread wheat). RNAcentral's name for it is "partial small subunit ribosomal RNA". The record is from RNAcentral. Lineage: Eukaryota; Viridiplantae; Streptophyta; Magnoliopsida; Poales; Poaceae.